GCGAGUUCGGCAUCUCUCUGUAGUUUCAACUUGUCACGAAGCUCUCUCUAUCUUGGAAAUGCAACUCCAAUAUUUACCCGUGUCUUGUUGCUUCUCUUGUCCCAAAACCAUCUCGGGUCAUUUAUUUAACCCGUGCGUUUGCGCUUCACAGAACGUGCAGGCAAAGCAUAAUCAUGAUCCCUAACUAAGUUAUUGAUUGAGGUUUAAAUACGAAUAUAAACAAUAUAAAUAUAAAAUAUAAUAGUCUCGAUCAAGGCUACUACUUUUUUUUCUUCAUCUCGUCUUUGUUUCUGUUCACCUUUGUAUUUGGCAGUUCCGCAGGAAGUUAGAUAAACUAGAGGGGUCAAAGUUUAUAUGACGCCAUAGACGGGCGACAAAACGGAAAUAAAGAAACGUGCCGUGUCUUCUAAUUAAACUAUAAUUUUCUCCAGAUUUGAAAGUUCGUGGAAACUGUCGGGAUGAUGAAGAGUUUUGGUGUUUGAUGUUCACAGUCACGCAUAUCAUGGAUCCAUAACAAUGACGAAUUGCACUCAGCCUGAUUCAACAGCAAGCAAGAGGAAAAAAGUCGAGGAACUCAGAAAGGGCUGUGUGAGGACGAACCGCUGACCAACAUCUGGAGGCACAUUUAAUGAUCAUUAAAAGCGUGACGGGAUAUUUACUGAAUGGGAGGAAAAGAGUGGGAAGCUGCAGGGCUUUCGAAGGCACCGAAUGGUUCUGUAAUGCAAGUCCUUGUGAAGAAUUCAAACCUGGAGACUUUAAAUUUAACAGGCCUUGUUUUCAGUUUAUGUGUACCAGUAAACUUGCAUCCAAAUACAUCUACUGUGGGUGGCUGUUUUGGUCUGCCUCACUGUCAGAUUUAACCUAAGGUUCCCAGACUAAAAAAUGCUCUAAACAGAAGCCUUG
Long non-coding RNA from Carassius gibelio (silver crucian carp), 903 nucleotides. RefSeq lists it as uncharacterized. The transcript has 3 exons. The record is from RefSeq and is a predicted model, not a curated record. NCBI's taxonomy places the organism in Eukaryota, Metazoa, Chordata, Actinopteri, Cypriniformes, Cyprinidae.